Non-coding RNA from Phalacrocorax carbo (great cormorant), 2876 nucleotides. NCBI's taxonomy places the organism in Eukaryota, Metazoa, Chordata, Aves, Suliformes, Phalacrocoracidae. The record is from RefSeq and is a predicted model, not a curated record.
GGCGGGGCGGCUGUCCCGCCUCCUCUCCUCUCUCCCUCCCUCCCCGGCUGAGCGGCCUCGGUGGGAAAAAUGGCUCGGCGUAACGCGGUCAGGGCCCUCCGGGCGCUGCUCCUGCAGCCGUCCGCCCGGGCCGCGCCGCUCACCCCGCGGGGACCGGCCGCCUCCUACGGUACUUCAAUAACAUCUGCCAAAAUCCAAGUGAAUGGAGUCCACCUGCAUUAUCAGCAGACAGGAGAAGGAAGCCAUGCAGUUCUUCUGCUUCCCGGAAUGCUAGGGAGUGGUCAAACUGAUUUUGGACCACAGCUUAAGUUUAUGAACAAGCAACUUUUCACAAUUGUUGCUUGGGAUCCUCGGGGAUAUGGACAGUCCAUUCCUCCAUCUCGAGACUUUCCUCCAGAUUUCUUUGAGAGGGAUGCAAAAGAUGCUGUGGAUCUUAUGCAGGCAUUGAAAUUUAAGAAGUUCUCUUUGCUGGGGUGGAGUGACGGUGGAAUUACAGCACUCAUUGCAGCUGCAAAGUAUCCAACUCUUAUCCACAAAUUGGUUGUCUGGGGAGCAAAUGCCAGUGUUACUCAAGAGGAUGUGAGAAUCUAUAAUGGUAUCCGAGAUGUUUCAAAAUGGAGUGAAAAGGUCAAGAAACCACUGGAAGAGAUGUAUGGACAUAAGUACUUUGCAAAAACCUGUGAGGCUUGGGUAGAUGGAAUAUCUUACUUUGCUGAAAAAUCAGAUGGUAAUAUCUGCCAACAGUUGCUGCCAGAUAUUAAAUGUCCCACAUUUAUAAUUCAUGGUGAGAAAGACCCUUUGGUUCCACAAGCUCACGCAGAAUACAUUCAUAAGCACAUCAAAGGCUCUCGGUUGCUUCUGAUGCCAGAAGGAAAGCAUAAUCUACACCUGCGUUUUGCAGAGGACUUCAACAGACAAGUGGAAGAUUUCCUACACUGACUUAAACUAUAAAACAAGUUGAAGACAUUUGUCCUUGCCUUAUUCAGACAUUUUAGUUGGCUUUCCAUUUUCAAGGUGCAGAAACCUCAGCUGCUGGGAAAUGUCAUGAGCAAGGACUGGUUUAAGCUUUGCAACACAUGGAACUGCGUGUGGCAUUAUUACGCAUGGCUUUUGCAAUCACAAAAUAUCCAAAAUUGUGCUGGCACCAAGAUCUUUUCAUCACCUUCUCUAGAAUUUUGUGUUCUUUAAAUCCUGGCUGUUGUCAGUAUUUUCCUUUGAUGUAUUUUUGCAAUACAUAAUCACAGGCAGUCUUUGUUACUGCUCAUGCAACUCGUGCAUAUAUACAUUUCUACUUGCUACAGCCAUAACCCGCCCUUUUGGGUUGCUGUAGGCAGUUACAUCUUCUCACUACCGCUGGAACUGCAACACAACUGUAUCUCUGUGGGAUCCACGCAGGCACUGAAGAGGGUUUUGAGUGCCAAAGUAUUCCUGGCAAUCUAGAAAGGAGCAGCUUGAAGCAUGCUCACUCCCCUCCUGAAGGCACCUGAACCGUCCUUGCCAUGCCUUCUUCCCACAGGCAUAGAGUGGCUUCUUGGGGCUUUAUUGUUAUUCUGUUAAAGAUUUUGAGCUUCUGUAUGGAAUCUGUCUAAUUCUUAGAUGCUAUCGUACUGGUCUCUCUGCAGAGACCAGGGUUUUUUGGGGGUAUUGCUCCAGGUUUUAAACAGAAUACCUGAAGGGAGGUACAUGUUUAUGCAUCUAAUAAGUGCCCUCAUCUACAGCAAUGCUGAGCAUCCAUGAACAUGCAGUGAAGCAAAUUAAAUGUCAGUUACUUGAAUGUCAAUUUGGAAUCCUACAUUUUGGCAAACACCUUAACAAAUAUUAGCCAUCAAUGCUAUUUAAAUCGAUAUGGGAGUUCCCUAUUGUAUUUUUUAAUAUAGCUCCAUAAAUUCUAAAUGGUCAGACUUACAAGUGAAAGUCAAAGAUCUCCCAUUCAUACAAAGGCAGCAGCUGUGCCCAGGAGCACCCCUGUGCCCCUCAGCAGCCCAAAAUCUGCCAGCAGCACCGCAGCCUGCACCCGGCCUGCAUCAAACGCCACCUUCCCCGUUUCCAAGGCAACAGCGGAGCCCAGGAGGUGGAUGCACAAGGGAGGCAACAGGGAUCCCACAACAUUUUCAUGUCCGUCUGUAAUUUCCCAUUGUUCUAAAAAGAAUCACAAAUGUACGAAUGUAAAUGCUGCUCAAGUGUACAAAAUGUCUGAUAAUGGCUUUAUUCUCACUUAUUUGUGAUGGGCGACAUCAUGUACUGUUCAGGCAUGUGUAUCAGAGGCUACAUGACUUUUCGAGUCUUUCUGUUGGUACGCAAAUGAGCAGGCUCUGUUCAUUAGCUUAUUGUUAUUUCCACCUGAUGAAGACUGUCUGAGUUCACCUUUGGAAUCUGAUGCUUAAUCACUUGCCAUCUGCAUUAAGAUAGAAGACUAUUUCUGCCAGCAAGAGGGUGGAAUAAUCGUGAAGGUAUUUUUAAUUCUAGUAAUAAAAUACCAAAAAGGAGAAUCUAUUUUUAUUUCAAAAUUACAACCCACUGAGGUACUAGAAGCAAUUAAAUACUACAACGCUGAGCAUGCUUUUAUGAAUGAGCAAAAGCAGUUUCAUUGUAGUCUUCUGUACUUGUGUUUAUUGUACCUGUUUAUGUGUUUGGCCAAGAACAAAAGAGGAAGGAGGAUAAACAUGUGAGAAAACAUCACGUUAUGGUGCAAUUUAGGGCACUGUCAAUUCUAAAAUGACCCACACUCCUUUUGAGGGAAAGACUGUUUCCUCAUAAACCUAAUAAUUCUUCCAUGCCUUAUGGUUUCUGUUGUGAACUUAGAUUAUAACCUCUGAGAGUCAGGAAUUCCUGUGAUUGUGGUUAUACAGGACCCAGCAAACAGAACCCCACUCGUC